RNAcentral lists this ribosomal RNA (482 nucleotides) under uncultured bacterium. Its description in RNAcentral is "partial 16S ribosomal RNA". It matches the Rfam family "Bacterial small subunit ribosomal RNA", at positions 28 to 507 of the family's 1533-position model. The record is from RNAcentral.
GAUGAACGCUAGCGGCAGGCCUAAUACAUGCAAGUCGAACGAGAUUAAGAGGCUUGCUUCUUAUGAAAGUGGCGCACGGGUGCGUAACGCGUAUGCAACCUACCUUAAUCAGGGGGAUAGCCCGAAGAAAUUCGGAUUAAGACCGCAUAAAAACACAGGAUAGCAUUAUCCAAUGUUCAAAUAUUUAUAGGAUUAAGAUGGGCAUGCGUGUCAUUAGCUAGUUGGCGGGGUAACGGCCCACCAAGGCGACGAUGACUAGGGGAUCUGAGAGGAUGACCCCCCAGACUGGUACUGGGACACGGACCAGACUCCUACGGGAGGCAGCAGUAAGGAAUAUUGGUCAAUGGAGGGAACUCUGAACCAGCCAUGCCGCGUGCAGGAAGACAGCCCUCUGAGUCGUAAACUGCUUUUAUUCGGGAAUAAACCUUUCUACGUGUAGGAAGCUGAAUGUACCGAAGGAAUAAGGAUCGGCUAACUCCGUG